CAAUUAUAGUCUCUUAGUUGUGAAUCGACGUUACAUCUGAGUGUUCUAAGCGAACUGUUAAAACUUUCAACAACGGAUCUCUUGGCUCCAGCAUCGAUGAAGAACGCAGCGAAACGCGAUAUGUAAUGUGAAUUGCAGAAUUCAGUGAAUCAUCGAAUCUUUGAACGCACAUUGCGCCUUCCAGUAUCCUGGGAGGCAUGCCUGUCCGAGCGUCGUUUCAACCCUCGAGCCCCCGUGGCCCGGUGUUGGGGACGCUGCCCAGCUACCUGGGCAGCCCCCCUAAAUGCAGUGGCGGUCCCGCAAGUCCCAGCCCUUUGCGUAGUAAUAUCAUUCUCGCUCUGGACGGCUCGCGGGCUUACCAGCCUCGAAACCCCCUACAAAGACCGCCCCGGCGGCAACGGUUGACCUCGGAUCAGGUAGGAAUACCCGCUGAACUUAAGCAUAUCAAUAAGCGGAGGAA
Molecule: ribosomal RNA, 460 nt
Filed under: Acrostalagmus sp. ca_besc_24e
Lineage: Eukaryota; Fungi; Ascomycota; Sordariomycetes; Glomerellales; Plectosphaerellaceae
Description: eukaryotic LSU rRNA
Rfam family: 5.8S ribosomal RNA (bases 62-215)
Source: RNAcentral